RNAcentral lists this long non-coding RNA (2737 nucleotides) under Triticum aestivum (bread wheat). Its description in RNAcentral is "long non-coding RNA (TAES_LNC018492)". Lineage: Eukaryota; Viridiplantae; Streptophyta; Magnoliopsida; Poales; Poaceae. The record is from RNAcentral.
GCCGUCUCUGCCCGGCUUCCCUGUCACGGUGGCCGAGCCGCUCGCUUCCUUUCCCCACAGGUCGCGGGCCACGGCCUCCUCCUCUACGGAUGAUUGAUUUGGUAUGCCCUGCUCUUGCUCUGAAGAUCACUGCUUGGAUGCUAGUGGAAUCGAUUUCAUUUUGUCCAUGUCAAAAUUAUUAGGACGAGAGGUAAGAUGAGCUUGCGAAUUUCAAGGUGAUUGGGGCUUUGCUAGGCACAAGUGCCAGAUCUUGUUGGAAUCUGUCCAUCUGGUACGAGCUUAGUGAUAGAUUGGCGAAUCAUUGUGUGCAUCGUCUUGUGUUUAAUACUGUAGAACUUUGCACAACUGACUUUUAAAAGAGGAUUUCGACCGAGCAACCGUCACAUGUGAAUCGAAUUUUGUGAUGGGUGGCUAUUGUUAAUUAGUGCGUUCUUGGUCUGUAGAUAUGGACUGCUAGGAGAGGAUGGCUGCUCGUCAGAUAUGCUGCUCAACUUUUGAGAUGACAACAAUACCGGACUUGAUGCGAUGAUAUCUAUGUAAAACAAUCCUGGGCUUUAUGUUUAUGCAAAACAAUUUUGGUUGCACACUGGUUGAUUCUGGAAUCGGACCCCCGUGUGGAGCCUGUACGUCCUAUGUGUUUUUGUAGCUUCUUCACCAAGUCUCGCCAAACAGCAUUAUACAAACUCAUUUCCAGCCUUGGCUAACUCCAAUCCUGUGUGUGUUUGUUUGUUAAUUUACAGUUGUACUGAACUGUAGCAAAGCAGGGGAUCAUUUGUGUGAGUUGUACUGAACCGUGGCAAAGAUGAGCCCUUUGUCUUUUCUUGUUGUAGCUUCAUACAUACACCAUCUUGACCUUAAAGUUAAACUCACUAGUAUAUGCUUUUGCCAAAGCAUUUCUCUUUUACCUUUUUUCAGGGUUUCUCAAGCAAUUAUGUUUUGUUGGUUGCUUAAUUAUGAAGUGGCUAUAGCUAUAUUGGAAAACUCCUAUGCUUCAUCACUUCUUUUUUAUCCAAAAUCUCUGGCACUUAAACUCUGUUUUUCCACAUAAAAACUGUAUGUUAUACACCCACUAUGAUUCUUACUGGAUGCUAUGAACCACUCUCACUCUUGACUUCACUUCCAUUUUGUGCAGUUGGACUGAAGCAUUGAUGACCCUCGAAUCAUAAUUCGGGUUCUCCUUGUUCUUCUAACCACCCUGACAAUGCAACAUCUUGCUCAAAGCUUUUAUUUCUACUUUUCUUUUCUUUUCACACACUCCUUGUGCCAAAGGUGUUGAUGUGAAUGCCGACAAACAAGCCCAAAUUGAUUUGUUUGAUCUUAAGAUAGUUAGUUUUAUCUUAUGGCUCUUUAAAUAGUUUACCAGAUAUUGAUAUACAUGAAAAAAUAUUCUGGACUUGAUGGAUAUGUCCAGCAAGUUCUUUGUGUUUGUACUUUGUAUGUACACUUAGGCUGACACUGGGUGUGGUGGACUGUGUCAUCCUUUGUGUUUUUGUAGCUCAUGUAGAGCAAGUUCCCACACAACAAUAUACAAGAGAAUAUGGAUUUCCGGUGGUACAUUGAGUUGUUUCACUGGUGGCUAGUAAAAUACCACUACAAACAUGUUACAGGCGGAUGUUUUUCCAGGGUUGCCAAGCUGGGUCCCUAGGUUGUUCAGCUUAACAUACGAUGUAAUUCAUCUCUGUAGGAAUCAAUUCAGUUGACGAUUGGUGUAGAUGGCUGCUCUGAUUGGGCACUUGGAAGUUGGGAAACAUGGGUAAAUUUCAAUUUGGCUUUCAAACUGGGGUAUGAUAUAGAUCGUAAUUGCCCAUGUCAUCAUGAUGUUAGUUAAUUUUCAGUGCCAAUUGUUUGCACUUCUCUACUGUGUGAUUAUCAUUUUCCUGGCCCUGUUGUCAGUGCAAUACUUUGAUUCGGUCAAACAGGUUCAGUGUGUGGAUAUUAUUACGUAGUUUCUCUUCAGAUAGAGGUUUAUGCUGUUUCAUUACAAUUCAUGGUGUCUUGUCCUAUCAAAGUAGAGUACUAGCUGCAGGAUUGUGUAAGUUUAACGUCCAUUAACUGUAGUGUAUGUGCACAAUAAAUGGAUAAUUUUCCCUGCAAUCGUGAAAACUUCCGCUUGAUAUGCAUUGCUGCUAUCAUGUGGACAGUGCGGAGAACUUGUAGUGGCACUUGUUUUGACAAUAGGAUGCCUUCUGGUCCCACAAUUGCCAUAUACUCUAUUUGCCAGUGGAUUGAAUGCUGAAAUGAUUUGCAGGAACAAAAGUUGCUCCAGGUCCAGGAUGGUCCCUGACAAGGCGAAAAAACAGAGCAGUUCUAGAUUCAUGAAGAUGGUGGCCUUGGAGGUUUUCUGAAGAGCUAAAGGAUGGAAAACAGUUGGGAUAAAAGUAGCUUUGGUGCCUGCACCGGUAGUAUAUGAUGCUAGCUUUUGCUGUCUUAGCUGCUGGAUUUCGAUGAUUUUGCAAGCUUGAUGUGAUUAUGCAAACUGUUAGGAUCUGAGUCUAAACUCCAGCACCUUUUCUUGCCUUUUUUUUGGCUUUCGUUGUGUUUUUAGUUCAGCAUUGUACUCUGUCAUGUUUCGUUAAUUCAGCUGGGUGCAAGGCCUCUGUAUAAUGAUAAUAAUAAAAUAUAAGAUUUCUUUUUGUAUAAAAAAGAGUUUAUGCUUUCAAUUAUUAUAUUAUCAAUUCUUGCUUCUUCUCAUGCUUUACCGUCAGUAGAUUACUUGACGUUUAAGAGAGCAUUUGAG